GAUGAACGCUGGCGGCGUGCUUAACACAUGCAAGUCGAACGGAAAGGCCCAAGCUUGCUUGGGUACUCGAGUGGCGAACGGGUGAGUAACACGUGGGUGAUCUGCCCUGCACUUCGGGAUAAGCCUGGGAAACUGGGUCUAAUACCUGAUAGGACCACAUUUUGGAGGGUGUGGUUGAAAGCUUUUCGGUGUGGGUUGAGCUCGCGGCCUAUCAGCUUGUUGUGGGGGUAAUGGCCUACCAAGGCGUCGACGGGUAGCCGACCUGAGAGGGUGUACGGCCACAUUGGGACUGCGAUACGGCCCAGACUCCUACGGGAGGCAGCAGUGGGGAAUAUUGCACAAUGGGGGCAAGCCUGAUGCAGCGACGCUGCGUGGGGGAUGACGGCCUUCGGGUUGUAAACUCCUUUCGCUAGGGACGAAGCGAAAGUGACGGUACCUGGAGAAGAAGCACCGGCUAACUACGUG
Molecule: ribosomal RNA, 465 nt
Filed under: uncultured bacterium
Lineage: Bacteria
Description: partial 16S ribosomal RNA
Rfam family: Bacterial small subunit ribosomal RNA
Source: RNAcentral